GGCUAUAGCUCAGUGGAAAAGUCCUGCCUUGCAAGCAGAAGGCCCUAGGUUCAGUUCCUGAUGGCAUCU
Podarcis lilfordi (Lilford's wall lizard) is the source of this 69-nucleotide non-coding RNA. The record is from the annotation of a GenBank genome assembly. NCBI's taxonomy places the organism in Eukaryota, Metazoa, Chordata, Lepidosauria, Squamata, Lacertidae.